UUUGAUCCUGGCUCAGGAUGAACGCUGGCGGCGUGCUUAACACAUGCAAGUCGAACGGGGAUGCCAUUUUUGAAGCGAUUAGCUUGCUGAGAGUGGAAAUGUUGGCAUCUUAGUGGCGGACGGGUGAGUAACGCGUGGGGAACCUGCCCUGUACAGGGGGAUAACACUUAGAAAUAGGUGCUAAUACCGCAUAAGCGCACAGUAUCGCAUGAUACAGUGUGAAAAACUCCGGUGGUACAGGAUGGACCCGCGUCUGAUUAGCUGGUUGGCGGGGUAACGGCCCACCAAGGCGACGAUCAGUAGCCGGCCUGAGAGGGUGAACGGCCACAUUGGGACUGAGACACGGCCCAAACUCCUACGGGAGGCAGCAGUGGGGAAUAUUGGACAAUGGGGGGAACCCUGAUCCAGCGACGCCGCGUGAGUGAAGAAGUAUUUCGGUAUGUAAAGCUCUAUCAGCAGGGAAGAAAAUGACGGUACCUGACUAAGAAGCCCCGGCUAACUACGUG
This 506-nucleotide ribosomal RNA is filed under the name uncultured Lachnospiraceae bacterium. RNAcentral describes it as "bacterial SSU rRNA". It matches the Rfam family "Bacterial small subunit ribosomal RNA", at positions 12 to 507 of the family's 1533-position model. Lineage: Bacteria; Bacillati; Bacillota; Clostridia; Lachnospirales; Lachnospiraceae. The record is from RNAcentral.